ACACUGAUGGUGAAGUGGUUAUCAUGCUUGCCUUCCACUAUGACGUGCAGCAAGCGGCAGGGGUUCGAUUCCCCUUCAGUGUA
This is a non-coding RNA of Tephrocybe sp. NHM501043, 83 nucleotides long. The record is from the annotation of a GenBank genome assembly. Lineage: Eukaryota; Fungi; Basidiomycota; Agaricomycetes; Agaricales; Lyophyllaceae.